This 164-nucleotide microRNA precursor is filed under the name Oryza brachyantha (malo sina). RNAcentral describes it as "MIR812 microRNA precursor family". It matches the Rfam family "MIR812 microRNA precursor family", at positions 27 to 191 of the family's 205-position model. Lineage: Eukaryota; Viridiplantae; Streptophyta; Magnoliopsida; Poales; Poaceae. The record is from Rfam by way of RNAcentral.
UACAAUAUUUUGACUCUUCGUCUUACUUAAAAUUUUUUAUUAAUAUUUUUAUUCUUACUAGAUGAUAAAACAUGAAUAGUAUUUUAUACGUGAUUAAUUUUUUUAAGUUUUUAUAUAAAUUUUUCGAAUAAUACGAAUGGUCAAACGUUAGAUAUGAAAAACGA